CCUACGGGUGGCAGCAGUGAGGAAUAUUGGUCAAUGGCCGUAAGGCUGAACCAGCCAAGUCGCGUGAAGGAAGAAGGUUCUAUGGUUUGUAAACUUCUUUUAUAGGGGAACAAACGUAUCCACGUGUGCAUUUUUGCAUGUACCCUAUGAAUAAGCAUCGGCUAACUCCGUGCCAGCAGCCGCGGUAAUACGGGGGAUGCGAGCGUUAUCCGGAUUUAUUGGGUUUAAAGGGUGCGUAGGUUGUGUUUUAAGUCAGCGGUGAAAGUUUGUGACUCAACCGUAAAAUUGCCGUUGAAACUGGAAGACUUGAGUGUGUUUGAGGUAGGCGGAAUGCGUGGUGUAGCGGUGAAAUGCAUAGAUAGCACGCAGAACACCGAUUGCGAAGGCAGCUUACU
RNAcentral lists this ribosomal RNA (395 nucleotides) under uncultured bacterium. RNAcentral describes it as "partial 16S ribosomal RNA". It matches the Rfam family "Bacterial small subunit ribosomal RNA", at positions 338 to 730 of the family's 1533-position model. The record is from RNAcentral.